CACCCAACAGGGUCGGGGUAAAAACAGUUUAUCAGAGAUAAGACCAUUGAUACGUACCGGACGCCCGGGUGGGUGAGUUACAACUGCAUAGUUCCCCUAGCAACCUGUUGUGGCAGAGUCGUCUACCUGGCCUCUGUGGUGCUGCUGACUCACAUCUGAGGACGGUGAACACUCGUGUGUGUCUGCGCCCACCUAUCCCUACACAGCACAUCAAAUAACUCUCCACCUACAGCACCUGUUCCCACCAGCACCCAUCACC
Procambarus clarkii (red swamp crayfish) is the source of this 259-nucleotide non-coding RNA. Lineage: Eukaryota; Metazoa; Arthropoda; Malacostraca; Decapoda; Cambaridae. The record is from RefSeq and is a predicted model, not a curated record.